GCCUUUUGGAGCAUGUGGAGGGGAUGUAAUCCCAAGCUUGGGUGACCUCCUACACCAGCCGAGAAUUGCCAGCAAAUGGCCAGCAGGCAACGCUGAAAGGAAACGUGAACCAGUUUUCUCUGCAACCGCCAGGCUGGAGUAUAGUCACCCAAGGACAGAUCCUUGCCUCCCAGAGAAAUGAGAUCAAGAAUGAUUACCAACAAAGCUGUAAGGCCGUCCUGCGAAGUCAGACCAUUUCCGAGUCAGCGCCUCCCGGAUUAGAUCCGAGCUGUUCAGCACCACCACAUCUGGUAUGGGGGUGGGGCGGGGAGAAAGGAAAGCUGAAAACCUGUUUGUUUAUAUUUUAUUUAUUUAUUAGAUUUUUAUACUGCCUCACACAGAUGGCUCUAGGCAGUUCAAAUAUAAAGACCGAUAAAAAAACAAAUAAGUAACUCAUUAAAACAAAACUAAAACCA
Hemicordylus capensis (graceful crag lizard) is the source of this 455-nucleotide long non-coding RNA. RefSeq lists it as uncharacterized. The transcript has 3 exons. The record is from RefSeq and is a predicted model, not a curated record. Lineage: Eukaryota; Metazoa; Chordata; Lepidosauria; Squamata; Cordylidae.